This 421-nucleotide ribosomal RNA is filed under the name uncultured bacterium. Its description in RNAcentral is "bacterial SSU rRNA". It matches the Rfam family "Bacterial small subunit ribosomal RNA", at positions 355 to 786 of the family's 1533-position model. The record is from RNAcentral.
UGGGGAAUAUUGGGCAAUGGGCGAAAGCCUUACCCAGCAACGCCGCGUGAGGGAAGAAGGUUUUCGGAUUGUAAACCUCUGUCCUGGGGGACGAAGGAAGUGACGGUACCCCGGGAGGAAGCCCCGGCCUAACUACGUGCCAGCAGCCGCGGUAAUACGUAGGGGGCGAGCGGUUGUCCGGAAUUAUUGGGCGUAAAGGGCGCGUAGACGGCCGAGUAACGUUAUAGGUGAAAGCCCAUCUUUCAAUGGAUGGAAUUGCCUGUAAUACUGCCUGGCUUGAGUGCAGGAGAGGGAAGCGGAAUUCCUAGUGUAGCGGUGAAAUGCGUAGAUAUUAGGAGGAACACCAGUGGCGAAGGCGGCUUUCUGGACUGUAACUGACGUUGAGGCGCGAAAGCGUGGGGAGCAAACAGGAUUAGAUACC